UACGAAAGGGGCGAGCGUUGUUCGGAAUUAUUGGGCGUAAAGGGCGUCUAGGUGGCGAAUUAAGUUAGAUGUGAAAUCCCUCGGCUCAACUGAGGAACUGCAUCUAAUACUGAUAUGCUUGAGUCCAGGAGAAGGGAGCAGAAUUCUCAGUGUAGCGGUGAAAUGCGUAGAUAUUGAGAAGAAUACCAGUGGCGAAGGCGGCUCCCUAGCCUGAGACUGACACUAAAGCGCGAAAGCCAGGGGAGCGAACGGGGUUAGAUACCCCGGUAGUCCUGGCAGUAAACGAUGGGUACUUGGUGUUGGAGGUAUCGACCCCUUCAGUGCCGUAGUUAACACGAUAAGUACCCCGCCUGGGGAGUACGGCCGCAAGGUUGAA
RNAcentral lists this ribosomal RNA (376 nucleotides) under uncultured bacterium. RNAcentral's name for it is "bacterial SSU rRNA". It matches the Rfam family "Bacterial small subunit ribosomal RNA", at positions 524 to 898 of the family's 1533-position model. The record is from RNAcentral.